Homo sapiens (human) is the source of this 220-nucleotide long non-coding RNA. RefSeq lists it as uncharacterized. Lineage: Eukaryota; Metazoa; Chordata; Mammalia; Primates; Hominidae. The transcript is spliced from 3 exons. The record is from RefSeq and is a predicted model, not a curated record.
GGCUAACACAGUUCCCAACAGGAGGAUCAAGUGCCAAGGCCCUGGUGACUUUGAGGAAGAGAAAGAGGCCAGUGCGAUUGGAGAGCAGUGAGGUUAAUGCUAUUACUUACCUUGAAGGAUGCUGUGAUAGUAAAUGGAUUUAUACAUGGAACGUGCUUGAAAUAAUGCCUGACAGUUUGUAAAGACAAGGUCUCACUCUGUUACCCAGGCUGGAGUCCGG